Molecule: ribosomal RNA, 466 nt
Filed under: uncultured bacterium
Lineage: Bacteria
Description: bacterial SSU rRNA
Rfam family: Bacterial small subunit ribosomal RNA
Source: RNAcentral
GGGCCCGCACAAGCAGCGGAGCAUGUGGUUUAAUUCGAAGCAACGCGAAGAACCUUACCAGGUUUUGACAUCUUCUGAAUAACAUAGAGAUAUGUGAAGCCCUUCGGGGCAGAAAGACAGGUGGUGCAUGGUUGUCGUCAGCUCGUGUCGUGAGAUGUUGGGUUAAGUCCCGCAACGAGCGCAACCCUUGUUAUUAGUUGCUAACACGCAAAGGUGAGCACUCUAGUAAGACUGCCAUGGAGAACAUGGAGGAAGGUGGGGAUGACGUCAAAUCAUCAUGCCCCUUAUAACCUGGGCAACACACGUGCUACAAUGGCUGUAGACAAAGAGAAGCGAGACCGAGAGGUGGAGCAAAACUUAGAAAAACAGUCCCAGUUCGGAUUGUCGGCUGCAACUCGCCAACAUGAAGCUGGAGUUGCUAGUAAUCGCGAAUCAGCAUGUCGCGGUGAAUACGUUCCCGGGCCUU